UGAAGAGAGAGUUCAAGAGGGCGUGAAACCGCUUAGAAGUAAACAGAUGGACCUGACGUGGAGUCGGUGAGAUUCAACUUGCAGUUCUACCCCAGCCUGGUGACUGAUUGAACUACAGUUUUCCAGCAACUGGUGUGGUCUGUGGGUGCAUUUCUUGCCGAUGUGCACUGGAACCCGUGUCUGCGCUGGAGCUAAGGUAGCGAGUGCCGGCCAACUUGUUGGUGUCCCAUCGCUGCUGGAAACCGAGUUGCGGACACGGGAGCCUCUAUGGUGUUCGCCUCCACUCGACCUCGUGGAAAGCCUUGCUAAUUGAAAUGUAGUUUUAUGCUCGCAUGACUCUGCGAUGCCUGGCUCGGUGAUCUGCGUUGCUCGAGUAAACACCUUAUUCUGGUGAUUUUGUCAGUCACCCAUCUGACCCGUCUUGAAACACGGACCAAGGAGUCUAACAUGUGCGCGAGUCACUGGGUCGCAAAACCUAAGGGCGCAAUGAAAGUGAAGUCCAGUUCGGCUGGAUGACAUGGGACCCUUUGUCUCUGACAGAGGUGCACCAUGGUCCCGUCUGAGCUGCAUUGUCAGCUGGGCGGAGAUUGAGCGUACACGUUGGGACCCGAAAGAUGGUGAACUAUGCCUGAGCAGGAUGAAGCCAGAGGAAACUCUGGUGGAGGUCCAUAGCGAUUCUGACGUGCAAAUCGAUCGUCGGACUUGGGUAUAGGGGCGAAAGUACGUAAUCGAU
Molecule: ribosomal RNA, 733 nt
Filed under: Metachromadora sp. 2I14K2
Lineage: Eukaryota; Metazoa; Nematoda; Chromadorea; Desmodorida; Desmodoridae
Description: eukaryotic LSU rRNA
Rfam family: Eukaryotic large subunit ribosomal RNA
Source: RNAcentral